UGGUCAUUACCAAGGCUUUGAGAAUGCAGUUUCUCAUUUGCUGUGGACAUGACCAUAAAAAAAUUUUCCCAUUAGGUUUUCUUUCUUUCUGCUACUUUGCUAGCAUUCAGCCUAUUGGGAACAUUU
Small nucleolar RNA from Mustela putorius furo (domestic ferret), 126 nucleotides. Ensembl annotates it as small nucleolar RNA, H/ACA box 32. Its record names the gene SNORA32. The record is from Ensembl. NCBI's taxonomy places the organism in Eukaryota, Metazoa, Chordata, Mammalia, Carnivora, Mustelidae.